Molecule: non-coding RNA, 70 nt
Organism: Rattus norvegicus (Norway rat)
Lineage: Eukaryota; Metazoa; Chordata; Mammalia; Rodentia; Muridae
Source: Rfam
GGGGAUUUAGCUCAGUGGUAGAGCGCUUGCCUAGCUAAGCGCAAGGCCCUGGGUUCGGUCCCCAGCUCCG